UCGGAUAUGGUGUACGGUACACGGCCUCUCGAUUUGAAAUGAAAGCCAGCGAUUCCGGAGGCAGCCCGGGGUUCGACUCCCCGUGUCCGAA
This is a non-coding RNA of Mycena polygramma, 91 nucleotides long. The record is from the annotation of a GenBank genome assembly. NCBI's taxonomy places the organism in Eukaryota, Fungi, Basidiomycota, Agaricomycetes, Agaricales, Mycenaceae.